UCACCAAUAGUCCUCUACACAUUCCAAUAGUGCCAGGGGCGUAGAAUGGGCCUCACUAGUCUUUCUCUUACAUACAUAACAUAACAUAACAUUCCAUAGUGCCAGGGGCGUAGAAUGGGCCUCACUGGUCUUUCUCUUACAUAGUGCCAGGGGCGUAGAAUGGGCCUCACUGGUCUUCCGUACCGUAUCAUCAUCAUAUCAUAACAUAGGAGGACUAAAGGAUCAUUCAACAUUCAUCCGCAU
RNAcentral lists this long non-coding RNA (243 nucleotides) under Manihot esculenta (cassava). Its description in RNAcentral is "long non-coding RNA (MESC_LNC008010)". Lineage: Eukaryota; Viridiplantae; Streptophyta; Magnoliopsida; Malpighiales; Euphorbiaceae. The record is from RNAcentral.